RNAcentral lists this non-coding RNA (148 nucleotides) under Nomascus leucogenys (northern white-cheeked gibbon). The record is from Rfam by way of RNAcentral. Lineage: Eukaryota; Metazoa; Chordata; Mammalia; Primates; Hylobatidae.
GCCGGGCGUGGUGGUGCACGCCUGUAAUCCCAGCUACUCAGGAGGCCGAGACAGGAGAAUCGCUUGAACCCGGGAGGUGGAGGUUGCAGUGAGCCGAGAUCGCACCACUGCACUCUGGCCUGGGCAACAGAGCGAGACCCUAUCUCAG